RNAcentral lists this unclassified non-coding RNA (711 nucleotides) under Hevea brasiliensis (rubber tree). The record is from RNAcentral. Lineage: Eukaryota; Viridiplantae; Streptophyta; Magnoliopsida; Malpighiales; Euphorbiaceae.
AUGAAGGAGUAAUGUAUAUUCUUCUACUUAGCCAAUUAUUACCUUUAGUUACUAUACUAAUUAAUUAGGAUCUCAAUUAAUAUCAGUAUUAUCAUUACAAAAUAUACAAUUCAGGUAUAUAGGCGUCACAAAAAUAUUCAUAUCUACAAAAUGAAUAUGGGAUGCAGAUAAUGUACACAAAAAUAGAUCACCAAACACCAAUUCUCACUGCGGCUAUAUGUUAAUAAGAUUGUAAAAAGCACAAAAUCAAAGAAAUAGCACACAUUCACAAAAUCAUGAGGUUUUAUAGAACAAAAUAACAAACAACUCUGUAAUGGUUCCACCUUGUUUUCUGCAAUCUCAUAAUGAAGUGAAAAUCAACUAAUGCAAGUUCAUUCUCGCCAGCUAUAAUUCCUCAAUCUCAUAAAGAAUAGUAAUCCAAAAGAAGCAAUCCAACCAAAGGAGUUUUUAAUGAAAUGCAAUCAAAUCACUGAUUCUAUUCAAACAGGGGAAAUUCACUUUAUGAUGUGACACAAUCUCUACUAAUAUGAACUGUCAAAAUCAAUUACAUGUGGCAAAGAAUGUGUAUUGUUCUGGUUAGGGCAUCAGCCACUACUUCCAGUCAUUGCAGUUAAUUUCUCUCCCUCAUGUCAUUCCCUCACAAUAAUCAAUUACUAAUUUACAUUUUAGUUAAUCAAUAAUAAAAAAAAAAAUCUUAUUAAAAAUGUAAGG